RNAcentral lists this unclassified non-coding RNA (246 nucleotides) under rhizosphere metagenome. Its description in RNAcentral is "partial ribosomal RNA internal transcribed spacer region". The record is from RNAcentral.
GUAGGUGAACCUGCGGAGGGAUCAUUACACAAUAAAAUAUGAAGGCUGUACGCGGCUGUGCUCUCGGGCCAGUUUUGCGGAGGCUGAAUUAUUUAUUACCCUUGUCUUUUGCGCACUUGUUGUUUCCUGGGCGGGUUCGCCCGCCACCAGGACCACAUCAUAAACCUUUUUUAUGCAGUUGCAAUCAGCGUCAGUAUAACAAAUGUAAAUCAUUUACAACUUUCAACAACGGAUCUCUUGGUUCUG